Molecule: ribosomal RNA, 441 nt
Filed under: Vibrio campbellii
Lineage: Bacteria; Pseudomonadati; Pseudomonadota; Gammaproteobacteria; Vibrionales; Vibrionaceae
Description: bacterial SSU rRNA
Rfam family: Bacterial small subunit ribosomal RNA
Source: RNAcentral
GAACGAUAACGGCGUCGAGCGGCGGACGGGUGAGUAAUGCCUAGGAAAUUGCCCUGAUGUGGGGGAUAACCAUUGGAAACGAUGGCUAAUACCGCAUGAUGCCUACGGGCCAAAGAGGGGGACCUUCGGGCCUCUCGCGUCAGGAUAUGCCUAGGUGGGAUUAGCUAGUUGGUGAGGUAAGGGCUCACCAAGGCGACGAUCCCUAGCUGGUCUGAGAGGAUGAUCAGCCACACUGGAACUGAGACACGGUCCAGACUCCUACGGGAGGCAGCAGUGGGGAAUAUUGCACAAUGGGCGCAAGCCUGAUGCAGCCAUGCCGCGUGUGUGAAGAAGGCCUUCGGGUUGUAAAGCACUUUCAGUCGUGAGGAAGGUAGUGUAGUUAAUAGCUGCAUUAUUUGACGUUAGCGACAGAAGAAGCACCGGCUAACUCCGUGCCAGCAG